AUGGAGGCGGUGCAAGUCGACAAUGAGGAGACGUCGGCGUCUGCCCUGGAGCUAAACCUCCUCGGCGCUCUUGGCGUUGAGGAGGAGAAGGGAAAGGCCAUGUCGAGCCAGGCGGCCGGGCCGUCGGUGGCGGCAGCCGGAGGCGGCGCUUCUCGCCGCAUGUUCAAGUGCAACUAUUGCCAACGCAAGUUCUACACGUCGCAGGCGCUAGGCGGCCACCAGAACGCACACAAGCGCAAGCGCUCCCUCGCCAUGGGCAUUGCCGCGGGGCGGGGUACCGGCCCUGGCGGCCCCCUAGUGCCGCACCACUUCCGCUUCCCCAGCGUCUGGCCCUAUUCCGCCACCGGAAGGUCGUUCGUCGGCGCCGCGACGCCGUUCUACGGGAUGCACAUGCACUACAACUGCCCAGGAUGGGGCCCGGCGGCCCAGCCGUCUUUGGCUGGGCUCACCCAUCACGCUGGCGCCAACCAGCCGAUGUACCGGGCGGAGGCCGGCUAUGGCGCGUCUCUCAGGGCUCCCAUCUCGGGCUUCCCUGACGCUGCGCCGGCGAUGACCGCGAUCCAGUGGGCCGGUGGCAGCGGCAGUGGCAACGGUGGCGAUCAUAACGUUAGUGAAGUGAAGCAAGAUGAGGAAGUCGCCAGCAAGAUAGACUUGACUCUCAAGCUCUAG
This 669-nucleotide ribosomal RNA is filed under the name Triticum aestivum (bread wheat). RNAcentral's name for it is "partial small subunit ribosomal RNA". Lineage: Eukaryota; Viridiplantae; Streptophyta; Magnoliopsida; Poales; Poaceae. The record is from RNAcentral.